RNAcentral lists this ribosomal RNA (253 nucleotides) under uncultured bacterium. Its description in RNAcentral is "partial 16S ribosomal RNA". It matches the Rfam family "Bacterial small subunit ribosomal RNA", at positions 524 to 776 of the family's 1533-position model. The record is from RNAcentral.
UACAGAGGGGGCAAGCGUUGUCCGGAAUUAUUGGGCGUAAAGAGCUCGUAGGCGGUCUGUCGCGUCUGCUGUGAAAACUCGGGGCUUAACCCCGGGCCUGCAGUGGGUACGGGCAGACUAGAGUGCGGUAGGGGAGACUGGAAUUCCUGGUGUAGCGGUGAAAUGCGCAGAUAUCAGGAGGAACACCGGUGGCGAAGGCGGGUCUCUGGGCCGAUACUGACGCUGAGGAGCGAAAGCGUGGGGAGCGAACAGG